RNAcentral lists this ribosomal RNA (497 nucleotides) under uncultured bacterium. RNAcentral's name for it is "partial 16S ribosomal RNA". It matches the Rfam family "Bacterial small subunit ribosomal RNA", at positions 28 to 507 of the family's 1533-position model. The record is from RNAcentral.
GAUGAACGCUGGCGGCGUGCCUAAUACAUGCAAGUCGAGCGAACAGACGAGGAGCUUGCUCCUCUGACGUUAGCGGCGGACGGGUGAGUAACACGUGGAUAACCUACCUAUAAGACUGGGAUAACUUCGGGAAACCGGAGCUAAUACCGGAUAAUAUAUUGAACCGCAUGGUUCAAUGGUGAAAGACGGUUUUGCUGUCACUACUAGAUGGAUCCCCGCCGCAUUAGCUAGUUGGUAAGGUAACGGCUUACCAAGGCGACGAUGCGUAGCCGACCUGAGAGGGUGAUCGGCCACACUGGAACUGAGACGCGGUCCAGACUCCUACGGGAGGCAGCAGUAGGGAAUCUUCCGCAAUGGGCGAAAGCCUGACGGAGCAACGCCGCGUGAGUGAUGAAGGUCUUCGGAUCGUAAAACUCUGUUAUUAGGUAAGAACAAAUGUGUAAGUAACUAUGCACGUCUUGACGGUACCUAAUCAGAAAGCCACGGCUAACUACGUG